Molecule: ribosomal RNA, 465 nt
Filed under: uncultured bacterium
Lineage: Bacteria
Description: bacterial SSU rRNA
Rfam family: Bacterial small subunit ribosomal RNA
Source: RNAcentral
CAUGCAAGUCGAGGGGCAUCAUGAAUCAAGCUUGCUUGAUUUGAUGGCGACCGGCGCACGGGUGCGUAACACGUAUCCAAUCUGCCCAUGGCUCAGGGAUAGCCUUUCGAAAGAAAGAUUAAUACCUGAUGGUUUCACUCCUCCGCAUGGAGAUGUGAAUAAAGAUUUAUCGGCGAUGGAUGAGGAUGCGUCCGAUUAGGUAGUAGGCGGGGUAACGGCCCACCUAGCCUUCGAUCGGUAGGGGCUCUGAGAGGAGGAUCCCCACACUGGAACUGAGACACGGUCCAGACUCCUACGGGAGGCAGCAGUGAGGAAUAUUGGUCAAUGGGCGGAUGCCUGAACCAGCCAAGUAGCGUGAGGGACGACUGCCCUAUGGGUUGUAAACCUCUUUUGUUUGGGAAUAAACUGCCGCACGCGUGCGGCACUGCAUGUACCUUACGAAUAAGCAUCGGCUAAUUCCGUGCC